Molecule: microRNA, 20 nt
Filed under: Ciona intestinalis (vase tunicate)
Lineage: Eukaryota; Metazoa; Chordata; Ascidiacea; Phlebobranchia; Cionidae
Description: cin-miR-4006b-5p
Source: miRBase by way of RNAcentral
UGGAACAUGUACGUAAGGGC